RNAcentral lists this ribosomal RNA (854 nucleotides) under Corinectria sp. RNAcentral's name for it is "partial large subunit ribosomal RNA". It matches the Rfam family "Eukaryotic large subunit ribosomal RNA", at positions 43 to 929 of the family's 3401-position model. The record is from RNAcentral. Lineage: Eukaryota; Fungi; Ascomycota; Sordariomycetes; Hypocreales; Nectriaceae.
UCAAUAAGCGGAGGAAAAGAAACCAACAGGGAUUGCCCUAGUAACGGCGAGUGAAGCGGCAACAGCUCAAAUUUGAAAUCUGGCCCCCGGGUCCGAGUUGUAAUUUGUAGAGGAUGCUUUUGGUGCGGUACCUUCCGAGUUCCCUGGAACGGGACGCCAUAGAGGGUGAGAGCCCCGUCUGGUUGGACGCCAAUCCUUUGUAAAGCUCCUUCGACGAGUCGAGUAGUUUGGGAAUGCUGCUCUAAAUGGGAGGUAUAUGUCUUCUAAAGCUAAAUAUUGGCCAGAGACCGAUAGCGCACAAGUAGAGUGAUCGAAAGAUGAAAAGCACUUUGAAAAGAGAGUUAAAAAGUACGUGAAAUUGUUGAAAGGGAAGCGCUCAUGACCAGACUUGGGCCCGGUUGAUCAUCCAGGGUUCUCCCUGGUGCACUCUUCCGGCCCAGGCCAGCAUCAGUUCGCCGUGGGGGACAAAGGCUUCGGGAAUGUGGCUCCUCCGGGAGUGUUAUAGCCCGCUGCGUAAUACCCUGUGGCGGACUGAGGUUCGCGCAUCUGCAAGGAUGCUGGCGUAAUGGUCAUCAGCGACCCGUCUUGAAACACGGACCAAGGAGUCGUCUUCGUAUGCGAGUGUUCGGGUGUUAAACCCCUACGCGGAAUGAAAGUGAACGCAGGUGAGAGCUUCGGCGCAUCAUCGACCGAUCCUGAUGUUCUCGGAUGGAUUUGAGUAAGAGCAUACGGGGCCGGACCCGAAAGAAGGUGAACUAUGCCUGUAUAGGGUGAAGCCAGAGGAAACUCUGGUGGAGGCUCGCAGCGGUUCUGACGUGCAAAUCGAUCGUCAAAUAUGGGCAUGGGGGCGAAAG